This 450-nucleotide ribosomal RNA is filed under the name uncultured bacterium. RNAcentral describes it as "partial 16S ribosomal RNA". It matches the Rfam family "Bacterial small subunit ribosomal RNA", at positions 354 to 796 of the family's 1533-position model. The record is from RNAcentral.
GUGGGGAAUAUUGGACAAUGGGCGAAAGCCUGAUCCAGCCAUGCCGCGUGUGUGAAGAAGGUCUUCGGAUUGUAAAGCACUUUAAGUUGGGAGGAAGGGCAGUAAGUUAAUACCUUGCUGUUUUGACGUUACCGACAGAAUAAGCACCGGCUAACUUCGUGCCAGCAGCCGCGGUAAUACGAAGGGUGCAAGCGUUAAUCGGAAUUACUGGGCGUAAAGCGCGCGUAGGUGGUUUUGUAAGUUGGAGGUGAAAUCCCCGGGCUCAACCUGGGAACUGCCUCCAAAACUGCAUGACUAGAGUACGGUAGAGGGUAGUGGAAUUUCCUGUGUAGCGGUGAAAUGCGUAGAUAUAGGAAGGAACACCAGUGGCGAAGGCGACUACCUGGACUGAUACUGACACUGAGGCCCGAAAGCGUGGGGAUCAAACAGGAUUAGAUACCCGUGUAGUCC